UACGUAGGGGGCGAGAGUUGUCCGGAUUUACUGGGUGUAAAGGGUGCUCAGGUGGAUUUGUAAGUCAGAGGUGAAAUCCCAAAGCUCAACUUUGGAGCUGCCUUUGAUACUGCAAGUCUGGAGUUUGGGAGAGGGUAAUGGAAUAUCUGGUGUAGCAGUGAAAUGCGUAGAUAUCAGAUAGAACACCAAUGGCGAAGGCAGUUGCCUGGCCCAAAACUGACGCUAAAGCACGAAAGUGUGGGGAGCAAACAGG
Molecule: ribosomal RNA, 253 nt
Filed under: uncultured bacterium
Lineage: Bacteria
Description: partial 16S ribosomal RNA
Rfam family: Bacterial small subunit ribosomal RNA
Source: RNAcentral